AGCGAAAUAAUAGUAGCGAAGUUCCUGAUGUCACACUGCCAAGAAAAGCUUCUAGUGAGAAAACAACUGCCCGUACCGUAAACCGACACAGGUAGUCGAGGAGAGUAUCCUAAGGUGAGCGAGCGAACUCUCGUUAAGGAACUCGGCAAAAUGACCCCGUAACUUCGGGAGAAGGGGUGCUGACUUCGGUCAGCCGCAGUGAAUAGGCCCAAGCGACUGUUUAUCAAAAACACAGGUCUCUGCAAAAUCGUAAGAUGAAGUAUAGGGGCUGACGCCUGCCCGGUGCUGGAAGGUUAAGAGGAUGGGUUAGCUUCGGCGAAGCUCAGAAUUGAAGCCCCAGUAAACGGCGGCCGUAACUAUAACGGUCCUAAGGUAGCGAAAUUCCUUGUCGGGUAAGUUCCGACCCGCACGAAAGGCGUAACGAUUUGGGCACUGUCUCAACGAGAGACUCGGUGAAAUUUUAG
Molecule: ribosomal RNA, 464 nt
Filed under: Enterococcus faecalis
Lineage: Bacteria; Bacillati; Bacillota; Bacilli; Lactobacillales; Enterococcaceae
Description: partial 23S ribosomal RNA
Rfam family: Bacterial large subunit ribosomal RNA
Source: RNAcentral